This 1096-nucleotide long non-coding RNA is filed under the name Crocodylus porosus (Australian saltwater crocodile). RNAcentral's name for it is "lncRNA (ENSCPRG00005015649.1)". Lineage: Eukaryota; Metazoa; Chordata; Crocodylia; Crocodylidae. The record is from RNAcentral.
CAGCUGUGUAGAUUGGACCAACAAGCAAGUUGUAAGGGGAUGGGGGUGUGCCACUUACCGUGGGACCCCGAUCCCCGGAUGUCCCCUGGAGAGGAGGGGUACGCGUUGGACCGUCCCGCUUCGCCGCUCUCGCCUGCCACGACUUGAUGGAAAUAUGGGGUUCACCCUUGCCGGGAAGCUGGCGGUCCACGUGGGGUACAGUACCUCCAAGGUCCAGGGGUCCUGAGGGCUCCUCCUCCCCUACACCCUCGCCCGGUCCUCCGGGUGGGGAGCCUCCGUUGGGGCUCCCUUGUCUUCGUCUUAGCUCCGCAGUGGGGGGGGUACCCCACACCGCUGGGCCCUCCCCAGGAGUCCUAUCAGCACCUAGUCUCCCCGGUGCUGAUCGCUCCACUCGUCCUGAGGCGUCUCUAACUCAGGGGCUCACUCUCUCGACCCGGGGGAACUACAACUCUGCCCCCCUGCCUGCGGGUCUUCCCCGCGGCCAAGCGGCUCGCAGCCGCCGGAGGAGGGUCCCUCCGACCCAGCCUCCCUUCCCGGCUUCCUCCGGUGCAAUGGCCACCGGUCCCUUUUGUACCUCCGUCCGUUCGGGGCCUGCUGCGCCCCCUGGCUCCGCCGCCUCCGGCCUUGCCGGCUGGUGCUGCGCCGCUCCUGGCUUCGUGGCGGUCGGCCUCACUGCCGCCGGUCCUUGCCGCCCGGCCCCCGGCUUUACCGCACCCGGCCCAGCCGCCUCUGGACCUCCGGCUCCCGGCUUCACCGCCGCCGGCUCCCCGGCACUUGGCCUCACCGCUGCCGGCUCCCGCCGCGUGGCACGCGGCGCGGCUGUACCUGCCUCCGCCGCUCCCGGCUCCGCCGCUCCCGGCCUCGCUGCUCCCGGCUCCGCAGCUCCAGUCCUCGUAGCUCCCGGCUCCGCAGCUCCCGGGGCAGGCUCCCGCCGGAGCCUCCGUCCUCCCCUGCUCAGGGUAGGCGGUUCCUUUUUAUCUCCCCGCGCCGGUCCCGCGUCGGCGCGGUUCCAGUUCCGGGAAACCUUAAGUUCCCCACCCGGCUUCCGGGCCCGGACCCGGAAGCGGGGCGGAACUCCGGGAUUCCCCGCUCGGGC